Molecule: ribosomal RNA, 266 nt
Filed under: uncultured bacterium
Lineage: Bacteria
Description: partial 16S ribosomal RNA
Rfam family: Bacterial small subunit ribosomal RNA
Source: RNAcentral
AUUGAACGCUGGCGGCAUGCCUUACACAUGCAAGUCGAACGGCAGCACGGGAGCAAUCCUGGUGGCGAGUGGCGAACGGGUGAGUAAUAUAUCGGAACGUGCCCAGUCGUGGGGGAUAACGUAGAGAAAUUUACGUCUAAUACCGCAUACGAUCCAAGGAUGAAAGCGGGGGACCGGUAAGGCCUCGCGCGAUUGGAGCGGCUGAUAUCAGAUUAGGUUGNGGUUGAGGUAAAAGACUCACCAAGCCGACGAUCUGUAGCUGGUUU